This 3927-nucleotide ribosomal RNA is filed under the name Lodderomyces orthopsilosis. Its description in RNAcentral is "Candida orthopsilosis partial large subunit ribosomal RNA". The stretch from base 155 to 2284 matches the Rfam family "Bacterial large subunit ribosomal RNA". The record is from RNAcentral. Lineage: Eukaryota; Fungi; Ascomycota; Pichiomycetes; Serinales; Debaryomycetaceae.
AAAAGGUGACAUGAUUUGAAAAAGUUAUAAAUGAUAUUAAUAUUAAUAUAUGGAUACUCAUAAAUUAUAUAUACAAGGUAUAUAUGAUCCCUUAUCAAAGAUAAGGCAUUAUAUAUAUAUAAAUAUAUAUAAGACUUAUGUUAUAGAAAGGAUAAAUUAGUUUGGCAAAAGCCGAUCCUAGCUAGAAAUAGUAUAUAAAAAAGUAUGUGAAUUGAAACAUCUUAGUAACAUAUGUAAAAACCAAUAGGGUUAACAGUAGUAUCGGUGAGAGAAUCUGUUGUUGUAUACAAGUAAUACUUUGAAGUAUGAAUAUAGUAGUAUCUACUACUAAUACAUAAACUAUAACAUAAAGUUAAAAGUACUGUAAAGGAAAGAGUUUAAAUAUCAAUUUAUAUAUUAAAUAAGAUAUAUAUAAGAGAUAUAAUGAAAUAUAUUAAUAAAGAGCAACUAUAGUAUAGUGUACCUCUUGUAUAAUGGGUCAGUGAGUUAUUUUUAUAAGCGAAAUGAAUAUUAUAUAUAAUAAGAAAUAGUUUAUAGGAAUAGACCCGAAAGCACAUGAUCUAUAUAUGUAUAGAUAUAUAUUUAAACAAAUAUAUGAUCAAAUAGGUAGAUGUAGCAAUAUCUUCUAAAGAUAUGUGUAUAGUAGUGAAAGGCAAAACUGAUGUGCAGAUAGCUGGUUAUCUACGAAAUAUAUGUUAGUAUAGCCCUUAUAAUAGCGUACACCCUGGUAAAGCACUUAAUACCAUAUUGGAAUAAAUUUAUUUACUAUAUGUAUUAAACCUCUGAACAGGUGUGAUAUGACAUAUAAGGAGUCAGACUUAUUGCGAUAAGGUAAUAGGUCGAAUAGGGAAUAACCUAGACUAUUAAAUGAAGGUCCCAAAUCCUCAUUAAGUGAAUACAAUCCUAUGGGUAGAUAAAUACCCCUUUAUAUCCCCUUAAGGGAUUAUUUUGAUCAGACAAUUAGUCAGUGGGUUUGAUAAUAAUCACCUGUUAAAGAACAUGUAAAAAUGCACUAAUAGAAUUUAUAUCUUAAUAAGAUAUAUAUAUCAAAAGAUAGGAACAAAUAUACGGGUCUAAAUGUAGGAACCGAAUAAUAGAUAUAAUAUUUUUAUAUUAUAUAGUAGUAGAUUAUAUAGUGAUAAGAACUAUAAAGACAAUGCUGACUUGAGUAACGAUAGGUAAUUAAGGAUUACCCCUACAAAGCACAAGGUUUAACUAUAAAUUAACGGUAUCUAAGUAUAUAUAUGAAGAUAUAUAUAUGAUGAUUGAUAGUACAGGAAAAUGUAAUAACCGUACCGCAGUCCGACCCAGGUGUGUAAAUGAUUAUAAUAAUAAUCAUAAUAUUAUUUAUAAUAAUAAGAAUAAUAUUGAGUAGGAAUGGGUGAAGUAUCAUAAAUGAACUCGGCAAAUAAGGCAAGGCCUGAAUAGUACGACUGUUUACCAAAAACACAGCUUACUGCAAAUAGGAAACUAUCGGUAUAGUAAGUGAUAUCUGUCCGGUGUAAGUUAGAUAAAUAAAUAAUUGACUUAUAAACGACGGUCUUAUCAUGAGGAUCUGAAAGUAGCAAAAUUCAUUGGCAUAUAAUUGGUGUCCCGCAUGAAUGAUUAUACGAUACUAUAGCUGUAUCUAUGGUAUACCCAGUGAAAUAGUAAUCGCAGUGAAGAUACUGUGUAGUCAUAGAUUGACAAAAAGACCCUAUGCAGCUUUACUAUAUUCUUAUACUGUUAUAUCUAUAAAUAUUUAAAUUAAAUAUUUUAAUUCCUUAUAUAUUUCUUUUAAUUUAUAAGGGCUAUAUGUUUAUUUCUUUAUAUAUAUAACUAACCUUUUUAAGGUACCAUAUAAGAUGGUUAGUUUCGAUGGGGCGUCGGCAUCACAAAAUAUAACUGAUGUGUCUAAAUGAUAUUUUUAUAUUCCCUUAUAUUUUAUUACUUUUUAGUUUUAUUUUAUAAGGCUAUCAUCUUUUUAAGAUAAUAAUAGAAUAAAUAAGUACAGAUACACUAGUAGGCAACUAGUAUAAAUUAAUAUAAUAUUAUUUUAUAUAUAUAAUCCUUCAUUUUGAUGAAGGAUCAUAUAUGAUACAUAUAUAAUUAAUUUUAUUAAUAAGGAUAAUAACAUAACUGUGCUAUGAUAAUGACACAUACUUGUGGAAUUAGUACUUAAGUAUAGUAUAUUGAACAGGCAAUAUCAUUAGAAUUGAGUGUCGAUUACGGAUUAAAGUUACGCUAGGGAUAUUAAGUUGUCCCCGUAUAUCGUGAGAUAUACUUAAUUAAUAGGGUUAAUUACAAAGAUAUCUUAUUUUAAUAAGACAAUUUGUAGCGAAGUAUAUAUUAGUAUUUAUAAAUAUAUAAACGUUCAACGACUAAAAGAUGAGUUUACUAACAAUAAUUCUUUCAAGAAAGCCCUACACCUAAUUUAUAAUAAAUAAAAAUAACAAUAAUUAAAUAAAACAAUGAAAUACAUAUCUAAAUCAAAAGUCCGUAAUAUAGGACCAAAUAGUAAUUUAUUAAGAGCUUAUAAAGCUCAAUUUACUAAUUUAACUUCAUAUCAAUAUGAAGCUUUAAUAGGUCAUUUAUUAGGAGAUGCUAAUAUUUAUACACGUAAUAAUGGUAAAACUCAUGGAAUUAAAUUUGAAUGAGGUGAAAAAAGUAAAGAUUAUAUUUUUCAUGUAUAUGAUAUAUUUGGUGAUUUUAUAUUUUUUAUUUAUUUUAAUUUUAGGUGAUGACAUAGUCUAAUCUAUAUAGUGAUAUAUAGAUAUAUAUAUUAAAUAAUAUAUAUGAUAAUAAUUAAUGAACAGGGUAAUAUCGCUAGAGAGUUGAUAUCGUCAGCGAUGUUUGCCACCUCGAUUAGAUAUAGUCGAGUAUAAAUAGGGUGAAUUGCAAGAAAAUCUAAGUAUAAAUAUAUAAGAUAAUUUGCAGCGAAGUUAUGUUAUAAACAUAAAACGUUCAACGACUAGAAAGAAUUAUAUCUUUCCAAGAGAGCCCUAAAUUUACAGCUUAUUAAAAUUUAUAAUAUAUAUAAGUAUAUAUAUUGAUUAAUGAAUUAGUGUUUUGUUUUAUGGGGGAUGGCUCACUCCAUAAAAGAGAUCUAAUUUAUACAUUACAUACUGGUAGUUUUACAUAUGAUGAAUGUGUAUUAUUAUCUAAUGAAUUGUAUGAUAAAUUUAACAUUAUAUCUAGUGUUAAUAUCGACAGAAUUUCUCCUAGUAAUACUUCUUACAAGGUAGUAUUUAAAAAAGAAUCUACUAAUUUAAUUAAUCAAAUUAUAAGCCCUUAUAUCUAUAAAAAUUUUGAGUAUAAAACUGUAAAUUAAGACAUAGUCUAAACUAUAAUGAAAAUUAUAGAAAUAUAUUCUAAUUGAAUAUAUGUUAAUAUAAUUGGUCGUCUAGACUUAUCCUAUUGGUCGUAGAAGCUAAUAAGGGUACGACUGUUCGUCGUUUAAAAAGUUACUUGAGAUGGGUUAAUUACGACGUGAGUCAGUAAUGAUUUUAUCAUCUAUGACGUUAAUAGUAAUAUGUAAUUAUAUGUGUACGAAAGGAUUAUAUAAUAUAGUUCAAUGGUGAAGAGCAUUUGAUUCUUAGCUAAAACUAUAAAGGAUAAAUAUUGAUAGCUUAUAAAAUAUUAAGCCUUACAUAUUCACUAUAUAAACAUUAAAGAUAAUAAUGUUAUAGUAAUAUAUCUAUGCUUUAUUUAUUAAUAAAAAGGAUAUAAUAAACUAAUAAAUUUAAUCAUUUUUAAUAACAAAUCAUGUCAAAUUAUUUAUAUAUAUCAUAUAUUAUAUAUAUAGUAUAUUUUAUAUUAAUGUCACUUCACACAUAAUGAGUAGUAUGUAUUUAUUUAUAAAUUCCUUAUAAAGUUUGUGAUUAUAAAUUAAUUUUCCUUCUCUUUAUUGUGAACAAUUUUAAGGAAAUAUAUCAUAUAUAUUUAAAA